Long non-coding RNA from Portunus trituberculatus (swimming crab), 360 nucleotides. RefSeq lists it as uncharacterized. NCBI's taxonomy places the organism in Eukaryota, Metazoa, Arthropoda, Malacostraca, Decapoda, Portunidae. The record is from RefSeq and is a predicted model, not a curated record. The transcript has 2 exons.
GGGUGUCAGAGAGAGAGAGAGAGAGAGAGAGAGAGAGAGAGAGAGAGAGAGAGAGAGAGAGAGAGAGAGAGAGAGAGAGAGAGAGAUUUUCCUAUCCUCUCUUCUAUAUCGUCAUCUGCUUAUUUUGCCGAGCUUGUUAACUAUACCUACGGAAUUCAAUGGCUGUUACAAGAUGUGGCUUCCUACACACACACACACACACACACACACACACACACACACACACACACACACACACACACACACACACACAAAGGCAAACGAUCUUCUGGUUUCUCACUUUCUUCACAAAAAUAGAUAAACUGACUUGCAUAAUUCCUCCGGAUUAGAAAUAUAUGUUCUCACUUUAAAAAAAAUCAA